UUGAGCGUUAACGGCUAAGAC
Molecule: unclassified non-coding RNA, 21 nt
Filed under: Dictyostelium discoideum
Lineage: Eukaryota; Evosea; Eumycetozoa; Dictyosteliales; Dictyosteliaceae
Source: RNAcentral